RNAcentral lists this ribosomal RNA (768 nucleotides) under uncultured bacterium. Its description in RNAcentral is "bacterial SSU rRNA". It matches the Rfam family "Bacterial small subunit ribosomal RNA", at positions 98 to 882 of the family's 1533-position model. The record is from RNAcentral.
GCGAACGGGUGAGUAACGCGUGAGGAACCUGCCUCAAAGAGGGGGACAACAGUUGGAAACGACUGCUAAUACCGCAUAAGCCCACGGUGCCGCAUGGCACAGAGGGAAAAGGAGUAAUCCGCUUUGAGAUGGCCUCGCGUCCGAUUAGCUAGUUGGUGAGGUAACGGCCCACCAAGGCGACGAUCGGUAGCCGGACUGAGAGGUUGAACGGCCACAUUGGGACUGAGACACGGCCCAGACUCCUACGGGAGGCAGCAGUGGGGAAUAUUGCACAAUGGGGGAAACCCUGAUGCAGCGACGCCGCGUGGAGGAAGAAGGUCUUCGGAUUGUAAACUCCUGUUGUUGGGGAAGAUAAUGACGGUACCCAACAAGGAAGUGACGGCUAACUACGUGCCAGCAGCCGCGGUAAAACGUAGGUCACAAGCGUUGUCCGGAAUUACUGGGUGUAAAGGGAGCGCAGGCGGGAAGACAAGUUGGAAGUGAAAUCUAUGGGCUCAACCCAUAAACUGCUUUCAAAACUGUUUUUCUUGAGUAGUGCAGAGGUAGGCGGAAUUCCCGGUGUAGCGGUGGAAUGCGUAGAUAUCGGGAGGAACACCAGUGGCGAAGGCGGCCUACUGGGCACCAACUGACGCUGAGGCUCGAAAGUGUGGGUAGCAAACAGGAUUAGAUACCCUGGUAGUCCACACCGUAAACGAUGAUUACUAGGUGUUGGAGGAUUGACCCCUUCAGUGCCGCAGUUAACACAAUAAGUAAUCCACCUGGGGAGUA